AGGACGAACGCUGGCGGCGUGCUUAACACAUGCAAGUCGAGCGGAAAGGCCCUUCGGGGUACUCGAGCGGCGAACGGGUGAGUAACACGUGAGUAACCUGCCCCUAGCUCUGGGAUAGCUCCGGGAAACCGGGAUUAAUACCAGAUACGACCACUUUAGACAUCUGUCGUGGUGGAAAGGAUUCCGGCUAGGGAUGGGCUCGCGGCCUAUCAGCUUGUUGGUGGGUAACGCCUACAAGGCGACGACGGUA
RNAcentral lists this ribosomal RNA (250 nucleotides) under uncultured bacterium. RNAcentral's name for it is "partial small subunit ribosomal RNA". It matches the Rfam family "Bacterial small subunit ribosomal RNA", at positions 26 to 285 of the family's 1533-position model. The record is from RNAcentral.